CAGCCUUCGCCCAGAGCAGCGUCUGCUAGUUACCUUUCACCUACUUCGCUGCGACUCGCCGCGCGGGGUAACUCGAGGUCAGACUCGGGGCCCCGCGCGCUUGCGCGCCGCCCGCUGCCCGCCGCCCGCCGCGGCUGGGAGUCCGGAGGUUUCAUCUUGUGAUGGUUUCGGUUCGGCUCUCAAAUGGAGGGUGUGAGCUUUGCAGACGUGCCCUAAUUCUGGGUCUGGCGGGGCGACAUUGGGCCCUCUGAGCUGCCACCCUGGCCCUGACGCCCCAUUACUCCUCGUUCCUUCCUCCCCCCAUCUGUUGUCACGCUCUCCCUUUUCCCACAGCUGGCCCCUAUUCAGCUGUGCCGAUUGCCCCACAUCCCUUCUUCCUGCAAAAGGCAGAUGGGAAGGGAGCUCUGUCUGGCCUAUUCCGGACAGAGCUCCGGGCUUCCGAGUGGAGCAUGAGCCCGCGGAAGAGCCACAUGGCUACGUUGAAGACAGCUGGGGCUGCCGCACGCCUCGGGGUUACUGUCGGGCACCCGGCGGGCGGGGCCGGCGCUGGGGCGGGGGAGGGCUUCCUCGCCCUCAGAAACCACAUUCGCAGAAACGUUUUUAACUGGCAAGGUUUCGAGUUCCCAACCACAGCACCCUCAGUGAUGGUUUUCAGAAGACCUUGUUAGCUCCUCUCCUCCAGAGACCCAUCCUUCGCUGACAUCCCACCGAUUUGGGAGCAGGAAAAAACAGACUCCUGCAAAAUACCUCUUCUUCCAGUGCCCUGUACCCCUCUCUACUUACUUCGAGUCCCUGCAGUCCAGCAACAACCCCAAACGAGUGAAGGGAGGAGACAUAGGUUUGUCCAGGCUCUGCCACCGACGGGUGAUUUGGGAUGAGUCCUUCUCCAGUAUCAUUAUCUUCAACUGUAAAACAUGAGGGUUAGUCCGAAUGAUCUCCAAACGCUUCAGCAUUAAAGUUAGGUGAUGAAUCCUAAGAUUUUGCAGUUCUAUAAUGUCACAUCUCCUCCGUUUCAGAGAGGGCCCGCAGGGAAUCUUGUUAAGGAUAACUGCCAUCGAAGUUACAAGUUUGUUCUGUGAUUGAAGAGUUUCAGGAUACAGUGAGAAGGUACCAUCUAUGAAUCAGAAAGUGGGCCCUCAUCUGAACAUGACCAUGCUGGCACCACGAUCUUGGACUUCUCAGCCCCCAGAACUGUGAGCAACAAAUUUCUAUUGUUUAUAAAUUACCCAGCAUAAGAUAUUUUGGUAUGGCAGCCUGAAUGGACUGAGACACUAGGAAAAAGGAAGAGAGAGAAAGAUUAAGGAAUUCAGCAGGAGGCCAGAUCUUAAAAUGUGGACCUGGUCCAAGGCCUUAAAGAAUAGAGAUGACUGAUACUGAAUUUAAAAUUGAUUGGGUUCUGGGAGGCGGAGAUUGUGGUGAGCCGAGAUCUCACCAUUGCAUUCCAGCCUGGGCAACAAGAGCGAAACUCCAUCUCAAAAAAUAUAUAUAAAUAAAUAAAAUAAAAUUGACGGUUUUUUUGUAAUGUAAAACCUCCUUUUUUCCAAACUUU
RNAcentral lists this long non-coding RNA (1549 nucleotides) under Homo sapiens (human). Its description in RNAcentral is "HSALNT0354192". The record is from RNAcentral. Lineage: Eukaryota; Metazoa; Chordata; Mammalia; Primates; Hominidae.